Molecule: non-coding RNA, 23 nt
Filed under: Arabidopsis thaliana (thale cress)
Lineage: Eukaryota; Viridiplantae; Streptophyta; Magnoliopsida; Brassicales; Brassicaceae
Source: RNAcentral
AAUGUUUUUCCAUAAUUUGAUGC